UCCUUUUGUCUAGUGGUUAAGAUGUUCGGUUCGGAACCCAAAGGUCCCCGGUUCUAUACCGCCGCCAAAUGGUG
Molecule: transfer RNA, 74 nt
Filed under: Araneus ventricosus
Lineage: Eukaryota; Metazoa; Arthropoda; Arachnida; Araneae; Araneidae
Description: tRNA-Pro
Source: RNAcentral